AAAGAAAGAAACAUAUGUUCUCUUUUGGAUGGACAGAACACAGGGUCUUUUAAAGCAGUCAGAGUGCGUGUGUGCACGUUUGGGCAGGGCUGCAACUCGACGGUCGCUGUGGAAGACCAGACUUGUCCUGGCGGGCACACUGCCGUCUUCCUCAGUUUGAUGUCAUGAUGUCAGACCAGUGCAUGGCCAAUCCCAUCAGCCCAUGACAGGAAGUGGGUUUGUGCCAGUGAAGUGUACUGUGCUGUAUACUGAACAGAGCCUCUAUUCAACAUCAAGACGUGACAAGUUGGAACAGGAGAGAUGAAAAGACCCUUCAAAAGCACCCAGAUCCAUUAGACAAUAUACGAGUCAGAGGCAGUCACCUCUGCUUUGUGUCCUCGCUGUUUGUGCUGUUAUGCCCUCUUUGUUUUUCAUGUUCAGGCCUUGUGUAGAAAAAGCAGGAAAGUGGGCGUAACAGUGUACAUGUGUGUUGUGGGUUUUUGUGACUUUAAUGUGUGCGAUGUGAAGAUGUAUGCGUGUUCGCAUGCGUGUUUGUACACACUUGUCAGUGCUACUGUGUGCGUGUGUGCAUGCACCUGCAUAAUGUGUUGUUUGGUGUUUGGUUGGGUUUGGUUGACCUACAUUAGUAACACUUUACAAUAACGUUCUACAAUAUACAAUAUGUUAACAUUAGUUAAUGCAUUGGGUAUCAUGAACUAAUAUUCAUAUUAUAUAUAUAUAUAUAUAUAUAUAUA
Myxocyprinus asiaticus (Chinese sucker) is the source of this 734-nucleotide long non-coding RNA. RefSeq lists it as uncharacterized. The transcript is spliced from 3 exons. Lineage: Eukaryota; Metazoa; Chordata; Actinopteri; Cypriniformes; Catostomidae. The record is from RefSeq and is a predicted model, not a curated record.